RNAcentral lists this non-coding RNA (81 nucleotides) under Schistosoma japonicum. The record is from RNAcentral. Lineage: Eukaryota; Metazoa; Platyhelminthes; Trematoda; Strigeidida; Schistosomatidae.
UAUUCCAAGGACACUCUGUUUUUGUAUCUAUACGCAUGAAUUGUGUGUGUUGAUGUCGUCUGACAGGCUGUCUGUGGAAUU